RNAcentral lists this ribosomal RNA (492 nucleotides) under uncultured bacterium. RNAcentral describes it as "partial 16S ribosomal RNA". It matches the Rfam family "Bacterial small subunit ribosomal RNA", at positions 29 to 507 of the family's 1533-position model. The record is from RNAcentral.
AGUGAACGCUGGCGGUAGGCCUAACACAUGCAAGUCGAACGGCAGCACAGUAAUAGCUUGCUCUUACGGGUGGCGAGUGGCGGACGGGUGAGGAAUACAUCGGAAUCUACUUUUUCGUGGGGGAUAACGUAGGGAAACUUACGCUAAUACCGCAUACGACCUACGGGUGAAAGCAGGGGAUCUUCGGACCUUGCGCGAUUGAAUGAGCCGAUGUCGGAUUAGCUAGUUGGCGGGGUAAAGGCCCACCAAGGCGACGAUCCGUAGCUGGUCUGAGAGGAUGAUCAGCGACACUGGAACUGAGACACGGUCCAGACUCCUACGGGAGGCACAAGUGGGGAAUAUUGGACAAUGGGCGCAAGCCUGAUCCAGCCAUACCGCGUGGGUGAAGAAGGCCUUCGGGUUGUAAAGCCCUUUUGUUGGGAAAGAAAAGCAGCAGGUUAAUACCACGCUGUUCUGACGGUACCCAAAGAAUAAGCACCGGCUAACUUCGUG